Lutzomyia longipalpis is the source of this 687-nucleotide long non-coding RNA. RefSeq lists it as uncharacterized. The transcript has 2 exons. The record is from RefSeq and is a predicted model, not a curated record. Lineage: Eukaryota; Metazoa; Arthropoda; Insecta; Diptera; Psychodidae.
AAAAUUACAAUUAAUUUGCAAUACACGGCUGAACUGAACCAGUUGGGUAGGUUUGACUCUUUUUUUUUCUUAUACAUUAAUUUACCAGGGUCGAUACCUUCUUUCUGAUACAACUUGUCAUGAAAAUGACGAGGAAAUCACGAUACAAUAUCGAUUUAGUUUGGCAGUAAAAGACAUUCGACAUGGGUUCAAGUAGCCGAAAAAAAUUUUCUCAAUUUUAUGUCGUUUGUGUUUGAUGGCGAGUGGAGGAUCGUAAGAAAAAUUAAUGUUCAUUGUCAGUGUGCCUUCUUCAAAAGCACAUAUAUAUUGCUACAGUAGAAUGUUUAUUGGGGUGUGGCGGAACAGUACAAGAGGAAUGGGGUGGUUUGCAAAAGAAGAAGCAGCAUGGCGUGGAGUUGAAGGUCCUCUUCCCUCAAACCUCUUAAAAAACAUCAACCACCCCCUUAUGUACAAACGACACGAAUACAAGAAGUAUGUUGGGAUUUCUAUCUAACACACACAGUGUCUGAUUGAGCAACAUUUUGGGAUCUUCUUCAGUACACACCCCCACUGUGGUUACGAUGUGAGAUUCCCACAGAAUGAUGAUUGUAAAAGUACCCAUCAAUGUCUUGCUGUGCGCGCGUGAAAUAAUUUAACGAUUUCGGCCCUGAUUUGUUUCAUUUUAAGAGAAGUAUUGCAUUAUACAUA